This 92-nucleotide transfer RNA is filed under the name Corynebacterium sphenisci. Its description in RNAcentral is "tRNA-Ser". It matches the Rfam family "tRNA". Rfam says of the family: Transfer RNA (tRNA) molecules are approximately 80 nucleotides in length. Their secondary structure includes four short double-helical elements and three loops (D, anti-codon, and T loops). Further hydrogen bonds mediate the characteristic L-shaped molecular structure. tRNAs have two regions of fundamental functional importance: the anti-codon, which is responsible for specific mRNA codon recognition, and the 3' end, to which the tRNAs corresponding amino acid is attached (by aminoacyl-tRNA synthetases). tRNAs cope with the degeneracy of the genetic code in two manners: having more than one tRNA (with a specific anti-codon) for a particular amino acid; and 'wobble' base-pairing, i.e. permitting non-standard base-pairing at the 3rd anti-codon position. RNAcentral also lists the same sequence under 1 other name. Lineage: Bacteria; Bacillati; Actinomycetota; Actinomycetes; Mycobacteriales; Corynebacteriaceae. The record is from RNAcentral.
GGAGGCGUGCCAGAGCGGCCGAAUGGGGCUCCCUGCUAAGGAGUUGCCUGCUUCACGGCGGGCCGGAGGUUCGAAUCCUCUCGCCUCCGCCA